Molecule: long non-coding RNA, 1301 nt
Organism: Bos taurus (domestic cattle)
Lineage: Eukaryota; Metazoa; Chordata; Mammalia; Artiodactyla; Bovidae
Source: Ensembl
GGGGGGAAUGUGCAGGAAACUGCAUAUAGACCUACUGUUUGGAGCUGAGGUCACAUCUAAAGAUGGAGGGAGGGAUGUCCUAGGGAUGUGGGUAAUUGUUGAAAGCCCAAGAAUGAGUGAGAGGCUGCCAAGGGAGGGUGUGCCACGUGAGCAGGGAGGAGACAGGCUGAGCACUGGAGACACUCCCGUGUAGGGAGACAGGCAGAGACGAGCUGGACUGAGCUCCCAGCUAGCAGAUGUAGGGGAGCCGGUAUUUCUCUGAGUGUGUUCUGCAAAGCCGUGGUCAUCUUCCAAGAUGUUCUGUGGCCUCAUACACAUGGGGAGAUGGCAGCCUAUACCUCCCUAUGGGAGACUCCCAAUGUACACUCUCAGAUUAAAGGCUCUGAAAAGUUCCUCAGUGAGGGAACCUAAUUCUCUAUGUUUACCUCACCAUUUCCCAAAUAUACUCACCCUUGGGACAUGGACCACUAAUGUCCUGUGCCCUAUUUGUUUUGAAAUUAUGGUCUAAACUUAAUGAAUAUUAGAAUGCCCUUUAGCCAUCAUUGACUUCAGCCUCCCAUUAUGUUGAUGAGGAAGCUCUGUCCUGGAGAAGCUAAGAGAGGCUACUGCCCCCAUUCCCGUGGGGCAGUAGAGGAAACACUGGAUUAGAGGGUAGACACACCCUACUCUCAAGGUUUAGUUCAAGCCUCAUCAUUUACUGGGCUUCCUUGGUGGCUCAGAUAGUAAAAAAUCUGCCUACAAUGCAGGAGACCCAGAGUUCACCCCUGGGUCGGGAACAUCCCCUGGAGAAGGGAAUGGCUACCCACUCCAGUAUUCUUGCCUGGAGAAUCCAAUGGACAGAGGAGUCUGGUGGGCUACAGUUCAUAGGGUCACAGAGUUAGACACGACUGUACAACUUAACACUUCAUCAUUUACUAGGUAUGUGACUUUAGGUAUAUUACUUUUCUUCCUUGGGUCUCUCUCUCUGGUUAAGAGCUAAAACUGCUCCCUGGGCAGGGCUGUGGCUGAAAGGAUGAGGAAUUUGGGGGAGUGGGAAGGGGACCAUGGUGUUGGGCUUAGAGCCAUGGUUCUGCCUUCUGCCAACAGUCCCACAGCUGGCCACAUCCUCCGGCUGGGCCCUGUCCUCUACCUGGCAUCAUCACACCAUUAUGAAGCCCUUUGUACAGGAUUUUCUUUUCAAUCAAAGCUGCAAACUCAUGAACGGGGGACGGAGCUUACCAGAACCACAGCACCUCUGAGAUGCGUGACAGUGGAGAAUGUAAUCCCGAAUACAGAAGCUAACCCGACACUCUCCACAGGGG